UUAUGAGGUGCUGACCAAGUGUUGUUACUUUGUAGCCGAUCCAUCAUCCAAGAUGGCCACCAGUGGGGGACUUAGUUUAACAUAGGACCCUAUGGGAAAUGCAUGCAAAUGACUUCUUCUAGAGAACCACUGAAUGGAAUGAAAUCAAACAUGACAUGAAUGUUCCUUAUGAGGUGCUGACCAAGUGUUGUUACUUUGUAGUCGAUCCAUCAUCCAAGAUGGCGGCCAGCAGGGGACUUAGUUU
RNAcentral lists this long non-coding RNA (244 nucleotides) under Mytilus galloprovincialis (Mediterranean mussel). Lineage: Eukaryota; Metazoa; Mollusca; Bivalvia; Mytilida; Mytilidae. The record is from RNAcentral.